GCGGCAGUAGCUCAUUGGGAGAGCCCCGCUUCGCAUGCGGGGAGACCUCGGUUCGAUUCCUGGCUGCUUCC
Molecule: transfer RNA, 71 nt
Filed under: Toxocara canis (dog roundworm)
Lineage: Eukaryota; Metazoa; Nematoda; Chromadorea; Rhabditida; Toxocaridae
Rfam family: tRNA
About the family: Transfer RNA (tRNA) molecules are approximately 80 nucleotides in length.
Source: Rfam by way of RNAcentral